Long non-coding RNA from Peromyscus maniculatus bairdii (prairie deer mouse), 1350 nucleotides. RefSeq lists it as uncharacterized. The record is from RefSeq and is a predicted model, not a curated record. NCBI's taxonomy places the organism in Eukaryota, Metazoa, Chordata, Mammalia, Rodentia, Cricetidae.
AGGUGGGAGGGACCACAGCAUCAGGUACCCAGGAAGACAGGGGAAACAAAGACCUUGUUUUCCUGCCAUCGGCCAUAGAAUAGUGGAAAAUGGGGGUGGGGGUGGCGUGGAGGGAUAGAAAUGGAGUCUGAGUGGGUCCAAGGUCAUUCCACAAACAAGUUGAGUUAACAUUGCUGAGCCCGACUAUGCAGCCUCCACACUAACUGUCUGAAGAGCUGUCAUUUAGAAAGCCACUCAAUCCUGGUGGGAAGGAUGCCAAAGGGUUCCAGGACCCAGUUUUCCCAGCGGGACUCAACCUGUCAAUCCACCUUCUAACAGGAGUGUCCCAAAGCCCCCCAGCCCUCAAGGUCUGACUACAUCACCCUUUAUGCACCUCUAGGUGGGCCCAGCCAUGCCCCCAGAUCUAGGGGUCAAAAGGCUCCUUUGGGGUUGACAAAAUGCCACCUGGGUUCUGUAAUGCCAAGAGACUUCCAGAGCGGGGCUCAGCGGGGACUCAAGGCUGGGCUUUCAUCAGAGGACGGAACACCUCCCCACACUCUGGUUCCACUAGGUGAUGCCUGGUGUUUUUUUUGUUUUUUUUUUUUUUUUUUUUUUUUUUUUUAAUAUCUGACUCAAAGAGGAAAACACAGUCUCCAUUUAGAAACAGAGGCGCUGGCAGGCUUUCCCCAGUGUGCAAGCCCCACCGCACUGAGUUUCUGGUAAUUUACCUGCGGCCUGAAUUAUUUAGAUGGAUUGAGCUCACGUGGACUUCAGGUGUCCCAAUUACCUGGGUGAUUUGCAUGUUUACGAGUGAGGGGGUUUGAGCGCUAGCUCAAAGCAGAUUCCAAAUUCAGACUUUGGAAUGGAAGCCCUUGAGGUCCUGGCCCCCGCCCCUUUCUACCCCACCUGCAAGAGGAGAGUCACAAAGAGCAACCCUGCAGUGAGCAGGCCAGGAACCCAUCUCCUAACCAGAGCAGGAGGCGUCACCGGGGCUUGGCCAACCUCGGUUUCUCCUUCUAGUCAUGCCGGCAAAGCAAAGUUCCUACUGGGCUUCAUGCAGCACCUGCAAAUUCAUGAUGACCUUUUCAGAGCUGGACCAAUUACACUCAAAUAAAAUGGCUUAAGCACCGGAGAGACGCAUGUUUAAAUUGUUGUGGUCGAGUGAGUAAUCGCCAGCCUUGGGAACAAUCUGACAGAGAGAGCCUCAGAUGGGCUGCAGCUGUUCCUGACCCGAUGACUUCUGGCUUCAUGGAAGGAGUUGUUUAUUGCCCAAGAGUUAUGAACAUAUCCUAGGCGGCUGGGAGAUGCUUUAAACAUCGUGCACAGUGUGAACGGCCACCCCGAGGAUCUGUUGAUAAUUCUGAGCCAAGG